Molecule: ribosomal RNA, 367 nt
Filed under: uncultured bacterium
Lineage: Bacteria
Description: bacterial SSU rRNA
Rfam family: Bacterial small subunit ribosomal RNA
Source: RNAcentral
AACGAACGCUGGCGGCAUGCCUAACACAUGCAAGUCGAACGGGAUCCUAGCUUGCUAGGUGAGAGUGGCGGACGGGUGAGUAACACGUGGGAAUCUGCCUUUUUGGUUCGGGAUAACCGCGGGAAACUGCGGCUAAUACCGAAUGCCCUCGAGAGAGGAAAGAUUUAUCGCCAGAAGAGGAGCCCGCGUCCGAUUAGGUAGUUGGUGGGGUAAAGCCUACCAAGCCGACGAUCGGGUAGCUGGUCUGAGAGGAUGAUCAGCCACACUGGGACUGAGAUACGGCCCAGACUCCUACGGGAGGCAGCAGUGGGGAAUAUUGGACAAUGGGGGCAACCCUGAUCCAGCAAUGCCGCGUGAGUGAUGAAGG